GUUCUGGUGCUUCGUCGCGUGGGCAACACCCGUUCUCAUUCCGAACACGGCAGUUAAGCCACGUUGAGGCGAUGAUAGUCGCAAGGCGAAAGUAGCUAGGCGCCAGAACU
This 110-nucleotide ribosomal RNA is filed under the name Parcubacteria group bacterium GW2011_GWB1_48_6. The record is from RNAcentral.